AUCUAAAUAGUUUAUUUAAAAUAAUAAUUUGUGGUGUUAUAGAUGUAAGUUUUACUUUAGAUU
RNAcentral lists this transfer RNA (63 nucleotides) under Histeridae sp. BMNH 1274741. Its description in RNAcentral is "tRNA-His". Lineage: Eukaryota; Metazoa; Arthropoda; Insecta; Coleoptera; Histeridae. The record is from RNAcentral.